GUGAGUAAUGCGAAGGUAACCAACCCUGGUGUUGGGCAUAGCCGCGGGAAACUGCGGGUAAUUCCCAGCGACGUCGCGAGAUGGCAUCAUCUUGCGACCAAAGGUGUGAUUCCGCUCUAGGACGGGCCUUCGUGGUAUUAGGUAGUUGGUGAGGUAACGGCUCACCAAGCCGACGAUGCCUACCGGGUGUGAGAGCAUGACCCGGCACACUGGAACUGAGACACUGUCCAGACACCUACGGGUGGCUGCAGUCGAGAAUCUUCGGCAAUGGGCGAAAGCCUGACCGAGCGACGCCGCGUGAGGGAAGAAGGCCUUCGGGUUGUAAACCUCUUUCGUAGAGGAGGAAGGGGCCGUGCAGAGCGGUCUUUGACCUAUUCUAGGAAGAAGCUUGGGCUAAGUUCGUGCCAGCAGCCGCGGUAAGACGAACCAAGCGAACGUUAUUCGGAAUUACUGGGCUUAAAGCGCGUGUAGGCGGAUGACCACGUCAGUCGUUGAAAUCCCCCGGCUCAACCGGGGAACAGGCGCUGAUACGAGUUGUCUGGAGGUGGGUAGGGGAGACUGGAACUUCCGGUGGAGCGGUGAAAUGCGUUGAGAUCGGAAGGAACGCCCGCGGCGAAAGCGAGUCUCUGGACCCAUUCUGACGCUGAGACGCGAAAGCCAGGGGAGCAAACGGGAUUAGAUACCCCGGUAGUCCUGGCU
This 699-nucleotide ribosomal RNA is filed under the name uncultured Planctomycetota bacterium. Its description in RNAcentral is "bacterial SSU rRNA". It matches the Rfam family "Bacterial small subunit ribosomal RNA", at positions 106 to 801 of the family's 1533-position model. The record is from RNAcentral. Lineage: Bacteria; Pseudomonadati; Planctomycetota.